RNAcentral lists this transfer RNA (73 nucleotides) under Streptomyces smaragdinus. RNAcentral's name for it is "Streptomyces sp. RB5 tRNA-Gln". Lineage: Bacteria; Bacillati; Actinomycetota; Actinomycetes; Kitasatosporales; Streptomycetaceae. The record is from RNAcentral.
GCGCCCGGUGCGCUGGGUGACGGUUACUUCGUUUCUGGUACGAGAGGUCCGGGUUCGACUCCCGGCGGCCGGG